This is a long non-coding RNA of Nycticebus coucang (slow loris), 899 nucleotides long. RefSeq lists it as uncharacterized. NCBI's taxonomy places the organism in Eukaryota, Metazoa, Chordata, Mammalia, Primates, Lorisidae. The record is from RefSeq and is a predicted model, not a curated record. The transcript is spliced from 4 exons.
CACUGGAAUCUGAUCUCUAGUGUGUAGAGACUGCGGAACUGGGAGAGGCGCAGGCAAACUGGUUUCGUCCUCAAGGCGAUUCCGGCCUCCGGGAGUCGCGGCGGGGUCUGCGGCAAGGCCGGCCCGGAGCAGGACGGGGCCUGGACCUGCAGGGCGGGCCCUUCUCCAGCGGGGACUGCCCUUCACCCUCCCGAGGACGCCGCGGGUCCCCCGAGUCCCGCUCCCCGUCCCAGAUCACGCCCUGCUGUCUCUGGGCCCAUUUUCUUUUCACAGAGGCGGCGAGGACGGGAGUUUAACUCGGUGUAAUCCGGCAACCAGCAAGAUUAACAUCUUAAAUGUCUUUCCAUCAUCUUCCACAUCCUCCCUGCCGAGUUUGCUGUCAUUCCUAGCAGUGCACCGCUGAAGGCAUUUUGUGUCUGUCAGUUAGAUUCUGAUGCCUGAGGUGCGGUUUUCUCUGUGACGCUCUGGCUGAAGGCCUGCCAGCUCUGAAUCUGCUAGUCGAUCCUUUCUGUUAACUUGAGAGACUCCGUGGCCCUCACCUCCUCCACUCGUGGCUGUGCAGUAGUCCCGCUCCUCUGGUCCAGGCGGUCAGCACUGCAGUUUCCAGGCCUCCCCACCUGGAAGCCAGUGGGAAUUUUAACAUCACCCACAGGAUGGUGCUGUUCCAGGCUGUGGUCUGGUGAGAGAAGAAGAGACUAUGAAGAAAGAUGAACACGGGUUUAAAGCCAUGUCCUUCCCUUACUAGUCUGUGGACUUGGCAAGUUCCUUAGAAUGCCAACUUCAUAAACACGGUGGGGUUUACAUUAAAUUAAAAUAAUCCAUGUACAAUACCCUGUAAUACUUGUUUCAUCACCUUCCCUGAGGACAGGGACCGGUGCUCUCAUCACAGCAUUCAGCAU